This is a non-coding RNA of Monodelphis domestica (gray short-tailed opossum), 2618 nucleotides long. NCBI's taxonomy places the organism in Eukaryota, Metazoa, Chordata, Mammalia, Didelphimorphia, Didelphidae. The record is from RefSeq and is a predicted model, not a curated record.
GUUGCAGAAAGAUGCCAGAAAACCUACAUUACAUCACGAUCAAGAAUGAACCUUGGAGUGUGAUUGAUUGAACUGAAGGUUGAUUGAACAUUUUGAAUGUACACUCUUAUGCCAAAAGGGGACUGCCCCCUAAUUGGUUUUUGUCAAUGUGCCCAGCAAACAUUGGUUUUGCUGUAUCUCUCUCUUCUAUUCCCUUCUUCUCUCUAACUAUUGUAGCUUCCUCUUAGAAGGGGAAAUUUUGUACGUACCUGCAGUUAGAAAAUUUAGAGGUGCAGGAUGAUUUAUGUUUAGUGAUCAAUUGGGGAGACUAGUCCCCUAAUCAUCAUGUGGGGGAUUGUGAAUUUUAGAUUACUCUAUUCUGCUUAGUCUGGCAAUAAGGAAUGUAUACACCUCUACUUAAGAAUUAAAAGUGUUGAAGAUGAUGGCCUAUGAUAGACAUGUGCUAGCAAAAUGACAAAUCAGAAACAACUGACAGACCCCCUUGGCUGUCCAAAGUCAAGCUUAAGCUACCAUUGGUACAUGUGGGACACAGGAAGUGAUGUAACAAAAGUCUAUAUAUUCGCGUCACUUCCUCUUGCCAUGCUCUUUUUGGCGAUGGAGGAGUUGAGUUUGGGGUCUCUCUCUCAGAGAUGCUGGGUUCGAAUUGCAGUGUGGCUCGUUGGUGUCUUGGUGUCUGAGCAUGGGUCAGAUAUACUGACAGACAGAGAAAAUGGAGGAAUUGGAAUAGGAUAUCACUUCAAAAUAAAACUUAACUAGAAAAAAUACGCAUUACUAAAAUUUUCAAACAAACAAAGGAAAUUUACAACUUUUUUGAGUGUUCAUAUCUUGUACCAAGCUUAUACCUAAUUUACAGGUAAGAAAGUCUCUGUAAUGUCCUCAUUGUUAAUAUACAUCCCUACAAAAUCAUUCUUAGCCUUCCAUUUUAACAAAACUGAUGGGGACUGUCUGCAUUUUGGGUACCUAUUUUUCCCCUACCUUUCUCUUCAAGUUUCUCAUGCAAAUGAAAGGCAGAGAAGAAAGAAACUAAAGAAACAGUGAAGUAGUAGGAGAAAUCACCUUCUAACCCUUUUUCAUUGUUUCUGUUGCUAUCUUUAUAAUGUACAUGUAGCCAGCAGUGAGCCUUCCAGGCUUUUAACCACAUUUUUAUGGAAUAUUUGGAUAUAUUAGUAUAAAAUGUAAUUUUCAGAACAGGAACUAUCACCUACCAUAUAUUGGACACAUCAAAGGAAACAUCCAUUCAUUCCAAAGUCCCCAGAAUUCCAUCAGAAAUGUAUAAAUAUAAAGGCCUUUUAAUAAAAGCCAUUUUUUAUUAUAGAAAUUGUUUAAAUUUUUUCAUUACCAAAUCUAAUCUAGUCAAAAUAGAAUGAAAAAGGUAAAUAUGAAAAAAUUUAUUAUACAUUUUUCUGAUGGAGAUGUUAUGUAUACCAUAUGAAUCAAUGCAUCAAUAUAUAUCAAUGACCAUAAAUAAAAAUGUUCUAAAUUGAAAAAUGCAUAUUAAAACAAUUUUGAAGUUCUCCCUCAUAUCUAUUAUACUGGCAAAUAAUAAUAAAAAAGUAAAAUAACAAAUUUUGGAGGGAUUGUGGGAAAACAGAUAUACUUGUACACUACUGAUGGAUCUAUGAUUUGGUCUAGCCAUUCUGGAAGAUGAUUUGGAACUAUGUCCCAAAAGUAACUAAACUGUAGAUAUAGCCCGAUUUAUAUAUACCACUAAUAAGCUUAUAUCUUAGAGAGGUCAACAAUUUUAUCAGGGCAAGCAGCUAUGUCCAAAAUAAUAUUUAUAGAAGCUUGGUUCAUAGUUCCCAAAAUUUGGAAUCUAAGGGGGUUGACUGCCCUCCAUGGGUAAUUGUUAAACAAGUUAUAGAAUAUUAAUGUAAUUGAAAAGGGUUACAAAAUAAAAAUGGCAAAAUGAAGCAUUUCAGAGGAAAUUACGAAGACUUUUCUGAACUGUGAAUUUUAGUUUUACUCCACCCUGCUUAGUCUUUAGAAUUCUAGCAACCAAAAAUGUAUACACUCCCACUUAAGGAUUAAGUGUGAGAGAGGAAGGCCUAUGACCCACAUGUGCUAGCAAAUGACAAAUCAGAAACAACUGACAGUCCCCUGGGCUGUCCUAAGCCAAGCUUAAGCCACCAUUGGCACAUGUGAGACACAGGAAGUGAUGUAAGGAACUGCCUUUAUAUUUCAUGUCACUUCCUGUGAGGGGAGAGCUUUGGCGGAGUUGGCCUUGGAACUCGAGCCUGGAGGAACUCCUCAGACUGCUUCCUUUAGAUGGUCACAUUGUGUGUGAUAAGACUGACUACCCUUUCCCUUGGCGUUCCUGAGAGGUCCCUUGGCUGAGGCCUCUGAACUCCUGCUUGGCUCAGACUAGGCAGAGUAGUUUUUAUUCUCAUUCCUCUGUCUUUCAUUCUUAAUUUCUUCCUUCUGUUGUAAAUAAACCACCAUAAAAUUCCAUUCUGACUUGAGUAUUUCAUUGGGAUUUAGAAUUUAAAUUCCUGGUGACCAACAAAAAUUUAUAUUCAGUCUCAACCCUAAAUUUACCCUUACCAGGUCAUCACAUUCUUUUAAAAGAUAUUUGCUACUAAGUGCCUUUUUACUUUUAUAUUAGAGAUCAUGUCUCAUGA